This 550-nucleotide ribosomal RNA is filed under the name uncultured bacterium. Its description in RNAcentral is "bacterial SSU rRNA". It matches the Rfam family "Bacterial small subunit ribosomal RNA", at positions 355 to 896 of the family's 1533-position model. The record is from RNAcentral.
UAGGGAAUCUUCGGCAAUGGGGGCAACCCUGACCGAGCAACGCCGCGUGAGUGAAGAAGGUUUUCGGAUCGUAAAGCCCUGUUGUAAGUCAAGAACGAGUGUGAGAGUGGAAAGUUCACACUGUGACGGUAGCUUACCAGAAAGGGACGGCUAACUACGUGCCAGCAGCCGCGGUAAUACGUAGGUCCCGAGCGUUGUCCGGAUUUAUUGGGCGUAAAGCGAGCGCAGGCGGUUUGAUAAGUCUGAAGUUAAAGGCUGUGGCUCAACCAUAGUUCGCUUUGGAAACUGUCAAACUUGAGUGCAGAAGGGGAGAGUGGAAUUCCAUGUGUAGCGGUGAAAUGCGUAGAUAUAUGGAGGAACACCGGUGGCGAAAGCGGCUCUCUGGUCUGUAACUGACGCUGAGGCUCGAAAGCGUGGGGAGCGAACAGGAUUAGAUACCCUGGUAGUCCACGCCGUNNCGAUGAGUGCUAGGUGUUGGAUCCUUUCCGGGAUUCAGUGCCGCANCUNACGCANUAAGCACUCCGCCUGGGGGAGUACGGCCGCAAGGUUG